RNAcentral lists this ribosomal RNA (581 nucleotides) under uncultured bacterium. RNAcentral's name for it is "bacterial SSU rRNA". It matches the Rfam family "Bacterial small subunit ribosomal RNA", at positions 102 to 679 of the family's 1533-position model. The record is from RNAcentral.
ACGGGUGAGUAAUGUCUGGGGAUCUGCCCGAUAGAGGGGGAUAACCACUGGAAACGGUGGCUAAUACCGCAUAACGUCGCAAGACCAAAGAGGGGGACCUUCGGGCCUCUCACUAUCGGGUGAACCCAGAUGGGAUUAGCUAGUAGGCGGGGUAACGGCCCACCUAGGCGACGAUCCCUAGCUGGUCUGAGAGGAUGACCAGCCACACUGGAACUGAGACACGGUCCAGACUCCUACGGGAGGCAGCAGUGGGGAAUAUUGCACAAUGGGCGCAAGCCUGAUGCAGCCAUGCCGCGUGUAUGAAGAAGGCCUUCGGGUUGUAAAGUACUUUCAGCGGGGAGGAAGGCGAUGUGGUUAAUAACCGCGUCGAUUGACGUUACCCGCAGAAGAAGCACCGGCUAACUCCGUGCCAGCAGCCGCGGUAAUACGGAGGGUGCAAGCGUUAAUCGGAAUUACUGGGCGUAAAGCGCACGCAGGCGGUCUGUUAAGUCAGAUGUGAAAUCCCCGGGCUUAACCUGGGAACUGCAUUUGAAACUGGCAGGCUUGAGUCUCGUAGAGGGGGGUAGAAUUCCAGGUGUAGC